Poeciliopsis prolifica (blackstripe livebearer) is the source of this 606-nucleotide long non-coding RNA. RefSeq lists it as uncharacterized. Lineage: Eukaryota; Metazoa; Chordata; Actinopteri; Cyprinodontiformes; Poeciliidae. The record is from RefSeq and is a predicted model, not a curated record. The transcript has 3 exons.
CACGUCAUUUCCUUAUUUGGUUUGCUGGGGAAUGGCCAGCAAGUAGCUCCCCCUGCUGGUAGAUUUGAAGAAGUACAGAAUCAACAGCGUCCUGGGUUGUUGGCCUGGAAACGAACAUGGUGAAAUAAGAUCAACAGAAAAUCAGUUAAAAACUUUGGGAAAUAAAAGCCUUUUGCCCUGCAGCAGGAAGGUCCUGGGUUCGAAUCCCGCCUUGAUUUGGUGUUUUAUUUUGAAAAGCGGAAGUAGAACCUAUCCGUCCAACACAACUGGUCACCGGACCGUUGGCGGCCCGCGGGGCCCCCUAGUGGUGGGAAAGAUACUGCAUAAACUGAACAAUCUGUGAGACGCUGUCUGAACAGGAAGCGUCUCUUCGCUCUUCCUCCAAACUCCCUCGGGAUCACCUUCACUCCUCUGUUGCUAGGCAACCGACAGGAAGAGCAUCACAGGAAGACACUUCAGGCUGCAGACAGACCUGGAAAAGCAACAUGUCGGCCCGCUGCGCGCUGAAGGAGCUUUAUGAGCUUAAAGGCUGAAAAACAAUAAAACAUCAAACAGGAUGAGGAGGACAAUGAUCCUGUCCCUCAGUGGGGACAGAUGGAGCCAAAC